GCAGGUAUAGUAUAACGGCUAUUAUGUAGCCUUGCCAUGGCUAAGAUGCGGGUUCGAUUCCCGUUACCUGCUCCA
Molecule: transfer RNA, 75 nt
Filed under: Acholeplasmataceae bacterium
Lineage: Bacteria; Bacillati; Mycoplasmatota; Mollicutes; Acholeplasmatales; Acholeplasmataceae
Also listed under: 1 other name
Description: tRNA-Gly
Rfam family: tRNA
About the family: Transfer RNA (tRNA) molecules are approximately 80 nucleotides in length.
Source: RNAcentral